UUAAGAAAAAGACCACUAAAAUCAUGCCCUUGCUUAAUUUUAUUGUGGCAAAAAUUUAUUGUGGUAAACAACAUUGUUUGUUUUUAAAGAAAAGUUCACUCUAUUACAAUUACCUGAUGACUUCAAGUAAUUACACGUGACUGUGACCUUGACUUACUGACCUAUUUUCUUGUUUUUUAAGAUACAGCCUUUAAAUUCUGAUGACAUACACAGUUUUGCACACCGAUCUUAAAACUGACUUUCAGAGACCAUGAAUGUGACCUACUGACCUGCUUUCUUAAUGUUUCAUUGAAACAUGUUCACUCAACUAAGAAAAGAUUUCAAUGCUAACUUAUUUGACUUUCUUACCUGAUCUCUUACACAUGUCCAUGUAGCUCAAAUUACUCAGGUGAGCAAUCCAGGGUCAUCGUGACCCUCUUGUUUGUGAAGAUCUUGAGUAUAUUUUGUUCUUAUCAUAAAAUCCAGAUUUUCUUGACAGACAGACUGGUAAAAAUAACAUUUUAACAUAUGAACUGAACAUUCCAUUAUGUACAUAAUUUAAGAGUUUCAUCCAUUUUUGUUUUGCUGAUAUAUAUGUAUGAAGAAAUGAGAGCAUUUUGAACACAACACCCUUUGUAUAUAAGUGAUGUAGAUUUGCAUUAAAGUAAACAUUGUUUGCAUUGUAAAUAUUGUCUUAUAUUCUUUAUACCCCCACCAAACAUGUUUGUGGGGGUGGGGGCCUAUAUAGGAGUCAGUUUUGUUCCGUACCGUCGCAUUGCGUUCCGUCGCGUCUCGAAAUCUAUUAUCUCAGUUACUACAAAAUGGAUUUGGUUCAAACUUAAAACAGAUGUAUCACCUUAUCAUCCACAUCAUGUGACACAAGGUGCAUAACUCUGACACCAACUUUUCAUGAAUUAUGCCCCCUUUUACUUAGAAUUUAAGGUUAAUUUUGAUGCAUUUUCACUAUAUCUCAGUAAUUACUGAAUGGAUUUGAUUCAGACUUAAAAUAGAUGUUCCACCUUAUCACCCACAUCAUGUGACACAAGGUGCAUAACUCUGACACCAAUUUUUCAUGAAUUAUGCCCCAUUUUGCUUAGAAUUUUAGGUUAAUUUGGAAGCAUUUUCACUAUAUCUCAGUUAUUACUAAAUGGAUUUGAUUUGAAUUUAAAAUAGAUGAUCCAUCUUAUCACCUACAUCAUGUUACACAAGGUGCAUAACUCUGAAACCAAUUUUUCAUGAAUUAUGCCCCUUUUUACUUAGAAUUUAAGGUUAAUUUUGAUGCAUUUUCACUAUAUCUCAGUAAUUACUGAAUGGAUUUGAUUCAGACUUAAAAUAGAUGUUCCACCUUAUCACCCACAUCAUGUGACACAAGGUGCAUAACUCUGACACCAAUUUUUCAUGAAUUAUGCCCCAUUUUGCUUAGAAUUUUAGGUUAAUUUUGAUGCAUUUUCACUAUAUCUUAGUUAUUACUAAAUGGAUUUGAUUUAAAUUUAAAAUUGACGAUCCAUCUUAUCACCUACAUCAUGUGACACAAGGUGCAUAACUCUGAAACCAAUUUUUCAUGAAUUAUGCCCUCUUUUGCUUAGAAUUUAAGGUUAAUUUUGAUGCAUUUUCACUAUAUCUCAAUUAUUACUAAAUGGAUUUGAUUCAGACUUAAAAUAGAUGUUCCACCUUAUCACCCCCAUCUUAUGACACAAUGUCCAUAACUCUGACAUCAACUUUUAUGAAUAAUGCCCCCUUUUACUUAGAAUUUAAGGUAAAUUUUGAUGCAUUUUCACUAUAUCUCAGUUAUUACUAAAUGGAAUUUAUUCAAACUUAAAACAGAUGUUCCAUCUCAUCACCCACAUCAUGUGACACAAGAUGCAUAACUCUAAUACCAAUGUUUCAUGAAUUAUACCCCCUUUUACUUAGAAUUUAAGGUUAAUUUUGAUGCAUUUUCGCUAUAGAUAAUUCUGAUUGGCUUAAAGCCAAAGGGAAGUAACCUUUUUUUAGCUCACCUGUCACAAAGUGACAAGGUUAGCUUUUGUGAUCGCGCGGUGUCCGUCGUCUGUGCGUGCGUGCGUCAGUCCGUAAACUUUUGCUUGUGACCACUCUAGAGGUCACAUUUUUCAUGGGAUCUUUAUGAAAGUAGGUCAGAAUGUUCACCUUGAUGAUAUCUAGGUCAAGUUCGAAACUGGGUCACGUGCCUAGAAAAACUAGGUCAGUAGGUCUAAAAAUAGAAAAACCUUGUGACCUCUCUAGAGGCCAUAUAUUUCUUAAGAUCUUCAUGAAAAUUGGUGAGAACGUUCACCUUGAUAAUAUCUAGGUCAAGUUCGAAACUGUCUCACAUGCCUUCAAAAACUAGGUCAUUAGGUCAAAUAAUAGAAAAACCUUUGGUACCUCUCUAAAGGCCACAUUUUUCAUGGGAUCUGUAUGAAAGUUAAUCUGAAUGUUCAUCUUGAUGAUAUCUAGGUCAAGUUCGAAACUGGGUCACGUGCCGAGAAAAACUAGGUCAGUAGGUCAAAAAAUAGAAAAACCUUGUGACCUCUCUAGAGGCCAUAUAUUUCAUGAGAUCUUCAUGAAAAUUGGUCAGAAUGUUCAUCUUGAUGAUAUCUAGGUCAAGUUCGAAAGUGGGUCACUUGCCGUCAAAAACUAGGUCAGUAGGUCAAAUAAUAGAAAAACCUUGUGACCUCUCUAGAGGCCAUAUUUUUCAUGGGAUCUGUAUGAAAGUUGGUCUGAAUGUUUUUCUUGAUGAUAUCUAGGUCAAUUUCGAAAGUGGGUGACGUGCCUUCAAAAACUAGGUCAGUAGGUCAAAUAAUAGAAAAACCUUGUGACCUCUCUAAAGGCCAUAUUUUUCAUGGGAUCUGUAUGAAAAUUGGUCUGAAUGGUCAUCUUGAUGAUAUCUAGGACAAGUUUGAAACUGGGUCACGUGCCUUAAAAAACUAGGUCAGUAGGUCAAAUAACAAAAAAAAAAACUUGUGACCUCUCUAGAGGCCAUACUUUUCAUGAGAUCUGUAUGAAAGUUGGUCUGAAUGUUCAUUUUGAUGAUAUCUAGGUCAAAUUUGAAACUGGGUCUACUGCGGUAAAAAACUAGGUCAGUAGGUCUAAAAUUAUUAAAAUCUUUUGACAUCUCUAGAGGCCAUAUUUUUCAAUGGAUCUUCAUGAAAAUUGAUCUGAAUGUUCACCUUGAUGAUAUCUAGGUCAGUUUUGAAACCAGGUCACAUGCGGUGAAAAACUAGGCCAGUAGGUAUAAAAAUAGAAAAACCUUGUGAACUCUCUAGAGGCCAUAUUUUUCAUGAGAUCUUCAUGGAAAUUAGUGAGAAUGUUCACCUUGAUGAUAUCUAGGUAAAGUUCAAAACAGGGUCAUGUACCUUCGAAAACUAGGUCAAUAGGUCAAAUAAUAGAAAAACCUUGUUACAUCUCUAGAGACCAUAUUUUUCAAUGGAUCUUCAUGAAAAUUGGUCAGAAUUUUUAUCUUGAUAAUACCUAGGUCAAGUUCAAAACUAGGUCACUAUAUGUCAAAUAAUAGAAAAAACGACGUCAUACUCAAAACUGGGUCAUGUGGGAAGAGGUGAGCGAUUCAGGACCAUCAUGGUCCUCUUGUUUCUAUUAGUCCUAUGUAAAAAGUAAAGACUUUUUUCUGUGGUAACUUGUGUUGGUAAAACAUUUUUUUGUAUUCAUUUUUAGUGUAUCUCUUAUAUUAGAGAUUUUUAUAUUUACCUCAUCCCUCAUUCUGGGCACAUAUACUAGUAUUACUUAAAAGCCCAGGAUGAAGUACUCCAAAGAAGGGUAAAAAAAACUUUUAAGUAUUAAUUUUUUUUACGUUUUAUAUUAUUCUAAGUAUUUCUAAAAUGUCUUAUGGUUGAUGGUUGCCAUUCUUCUGUGACAGGACCGUAUGAUGGGGGUAUAAGUCACUCAUGUGACAGUUCUAGUUUAGUUGUACUUUUAUAAACUACUGUUUAUGUAUGUCAUAAGAUAUAACUUUAGGAAAUAUCUCUUUUCUUUUUGAGGAGAAAUAUAUGAGGUUGCUGUUGUAUACCAUCGCAAAACCAAGAAGUUCAGACUGUUUUGCACAUACAACAUGUACUUGGAUUCCUCAUGUAUGGCCUUGAAGGGACAGUCAUAGGAAAAUGGUAAGAAAGAUGCAUGUGUAAGUAUACGGUAUGUACUGGUGUAAACCAAGGAAUCAACAUUUUAAGCUCAACUACACAAAGUAUCUGGAGAGCUAUCCAAAUCUUCUGGCACAGUUUUGUGGAACUAGUAAAUCUAAUACAUGUAUAUAAAUUGGAUUCUAUGAUUGAAGGGAGAUAACUCAAUUCAAAACUUUCCUACUAUUUAAUUUUAUAAUAGUAAUGUUACAAUUGCCUUUCUGCAAAUAUCACUUUAAAGGUUGAAUAAUAUUUUAAACAGCAAGUAUUUGUAUGCCUUGUAUUAAAUGAAAUGAGUUUUGUCGUUUUUUUGAAAACAAGUCGUAGUAAAACAAAGAAAAAAAGCUACAUACAAAGAAUUCUAGGCAUACAGGGUUGUAGAUCUUCGAAGGAUCUUGUUGUGAGAUGGAGGGAGCUGCCUCGCAGAUUGAAUGUAUAAGGUAAGAGACUUAAGUAUUAUUGAUUAAAAUUUGCAUUCUUAAACUAGGUUCUGUCUUUAGGUAAAAUGAGAUUAAACAUGGAUGUCUCGUAAGAAGAAGUAACUAGAAGUUUUUUUAGCUCACUUGUCACAUAGUGACAAGGUGAGCUUUUGUGAUCACCCUUCACCUGUCGUCCGUUGUCAGUCAGGACAUGCGUGCGUCCAUCCGUCAACAAUUUCUUGUCUGCACAUUAGUGGUUUCAUUUAAUAUUUUAUUUUAACCAAACUUGCACACAACUUGUAUCACCAUAAGAUCUCGUUUCCAUUCUUGAACUGGCCAGAUUCCAUUAUGAGUUCCAGAGUUAUGGCCCCUGAAGGCCAAAAUUAGCUAUUUUGACCUUGUAUGCACAAUAUAGCAGCUUUAUUUAUGAGUUGAUUUUUACCAAACUUGCACAAAACUUGUAUCACCAUAAGAUCUUGGUUCCUUUAUUGAACUGACCAGAUUCCAUUAUGGGUUCCAGAGUUACCGCCCCUGAAUGGGUCAGAAUUAGCUAUUUUGACCUUAUCUGCACAAUAGCAGCCUCAUUUAUGAUUUUAUUAGCUCGACUAUUCAAAGAAUAGUCUAGCUAUUCUACUCACCCUGGCGUCGGCGUCGCCAUAAGUUUAUAAGUUUUUGCAUGCAAGUACAUACAGCUAUCAUUUAAAGGCAUAUAGCUUUGAAACUUAUUUUUUCUUUUUCUAGGUCAGUUACCAACCUCACUGGGUCAAGUUCCAUAACUCUGAUAUAUGACCUAAAAAAGACGAGAUACAGCGGGUACAAGUUCUCAAAGAGAGGGAGGUCUGUCAUGGUAAAAUCAGAGUUGGGCAUUUAAAAAAGUCGAACGAUUGUUAUUGUCCUUUGAUUACUCAACAUUAGAAUACAUAAGUGUCAUCCUUGUCUGGAGCAUUUCUCAGCAACCUUUGGCUGGAAUUCAGCAAAAAUUCAUAGACAGCUUCACUGUCAAAAGAUUGAAAGGUGGAAGAACCAUUGCUUGGGACAGUGGAUGACAUUGACUUAAUUUUUGAAAGCAUGAGACCUUGUCAUGAGUACAGGUUGAUGGUCUAAGCCAAGACACCAUCCAGUAUAGGCGUCACCUCCAGUGUCAGUGUACACAAAACUUGCCAAGACCAGGGAACAAGUGGACCAAGUAGAAGUUGUUAUGUAUGAAGCAGACACAAGGAGUAUAAAGACUUCAUCAGAAUAUUUUGUGAUACAAGGUUGAUAAGGGACCUUUGACGUACCAGGAACCACUGCUGCUUGAAUUUUAAACAUUUAUUACUGGUAGUUACUCGAUCUAAGUUAUUGUCUCUUGCAAAGAAAGCAAAAAGCUAUUUAUAUUUUAGUUGUCCAAUUUCAGUUUCUCUAUCCGUGGUUCACAAGUCAGUUUACAAAGAAUUCAUGACCCAGUGAAAUAGCCAUUUUAGGCAAAGCCAAGAAAUUUUAUACCCAUGAAAUUAAUCAAAGCCUUGAUAAACCCGCAACCAAUAAACAAUGACAAUGUUUAACUUAAACACAAUAGCACGCUGAUAAUUAGAUGUAAAAAUUGAAUUUUUCAUAUGACAUUAUAUGUUAAUUAGAAGAAUUUUUUUUAAAAGAUGCUUUAGACACAACUCCCACUUUUUCAUAAAGAUUUUGGGACAAAAUGUUUCUAGUAUUUGAUCAUACUCUAGUUUGUAUAUGUGUAUCAAGACUAAAGUACCUCUUCCACUUUUAAGCUCAAGAUUAGCUACUCUGAUCACUAACCGUCAUGCAUCAGUUUGUCAAGAUUUUCUUCAGACAUUUCUUUUGUAACCAUUAGUUGUUACUUGGCCUGGAUGCUCCUUGGGUAGUCUUGUUCUAAAGUUUUUGAACAGUUCCUCAUGGUUGCAUAAUAUUAUAGGUUCCACCCCAGAAAAAAAAGAUAAAACUCUUUGAGUGAUAUCUCCUUAAUCACAGCUCUGAUUCUGAAAUUAUUUCACAGAAAUUGUCCUUAAUGACUCUUUACCAAGGUUAUUAUGCCCUCAACAUAAUGUCGGUGCUGUUCAUACAUUCGUCUGUAUGUAGAUCAGAAAGUACAUACGUCACAAAAUGUUGGUGUCCAACUCCUCCAACACAAUUAGUCUGAUGUGCUUCAAACUUUUACAGAUGAAUAAGCUUGUGGAUGAGGAUGUGAAUAAUCUGUAAGGAGGAAUUAUUUGAUGAAUAAUCUGUUAGGAGGAAUUAGUUGAUAAAUAAUCUGUAGGGAGGAAUUAUUUGAUAAAUAAUCUGUAAGGAAGAAUUAUUUGAUGAAUAUUCUACAAGGGAUAAUUAUUUUAUGAAUAAUCUGUAGGGAAGAAUUAUUUUAUGAAUACUCUAUAAAGGAAAAUUAUUUUAUGAAUAAUCUGUAGGGAGGAAUUACUUGAUGAAUAAUCUGUAGGGAGGAAUUAUUUUAUGAAUAAUCUGUAAGGAGGAACCAUUUGGUUUAAACAAUAUUUUAUUAAUCAAAUAGCAUGUAUUUACAAAAUAUUUUUUCAAAAGCUAGGGAUCGAGUAGAAAGCUAAUAAGCUUUUUUAGAAACUCUUACCCAAAAAUCAUUUGAUGAAUCAUAUGUAAGGAGGAAUUAUUUUAUGAAUAAUCUGUAAGGAGGAAUUUUUUGAUGAAUACUCUACAAGGGAGAAUUAUUUGAUGAAUGGUCUGUAAGGAUUUAUAGCGUUAAGCUAUAAUCACACUGCACCGGAUGGGCUUGCGGAUGAGUUCCAGAUAGCAUCCGUAGAACUCCUAACUCAUUCGUAAGUCAUCUAGUGUGUCUGUUCAGAAAUAGGGGGCAUCCGGGGCAAGGGAAUGUUGUUCAAGUUGAACAUGCUCAAAAUUUUGCCACGGAUAAUACAUCCGCAAAAAAUCUGUAAUAAAUCUGUAACAGUUCUGAAAAAGAUCGUAACUGUCCGGAAGACGAUCACUGUGGUAAAAAAAUACGAGCCAUUACGGUUUUAUUCCGGUUCUAAUAAGGUUAAUUAAGGUUCUAUUAAGAUUUCAUUAGAGAAUUAUAACGUAACCAAUUCGCAAAAUUCAUUUCUUGCACAUCCGGAGCAAUCCGGGGACGGGAAUCAGGAGCUCGUCCGAAAGCCCAUCUUGGGCAGUGUAAUUCUAUCUUUAAAAUAAAAUACCUUUUAUAUCUUCUGAACUGUUAACUGUUAAAUGUUAAUCAAGUUGAAUAAAGAAAGACAUGAAUCUAAUAUUUCUAUUAUCUAUACUCUCUUUGUGAAUAUUUGUGUUUUUAAUGAAACAGACAAUGUAUAAAGAUUCCUCAUAUAUAACAGGUAUGGUCUGUAAGUUAUUUAAGGAUUGACAUGGCUUAGAAUGAACUUUUUAUUAACAUUACGGAACAGAUUGGUGUAUGUCACCACUAAUCUUUUUUCCUAUCGCACUGGACCCAAAAUAUAGCUUUAAGUGAACACAUUAUAUAGUUCACUACUAAAUUUUCAUCUAUGGUCCAAAAACAGCCUUUUUUACCAUGGGUAUAUUAAGCUUUAUUUAUUACCUGGUUACAGUGCUAACAUAUGUUACAGUUAAUGAUAUCGUAAUGGAUCUGUGAUGUCACCGAUAAGGUCUGCUAUCUACAAGCACAAGAUUGAAUGUGCGUACAAACGAUCAGUGCAUUCACCAUACAAUAGCAUAAGUAAACCAUAGAUUUUGCUGUUACUGUUAUUCUAGUAUUCUGUUCAUUUUGUUACACAUCCGAAAUUAAAAAAAAAAAAGUUUUAGAAAAAAACAUACUCGUACAAAUUUAUUAAUACUAAA
This is a long non-coding RNA of Mercenaria mercenaria, 8320 nucleotides long. RefSeq lists it as uncharacterized. The record is from RefSeq and is a predicted model, not a curated record. Lineage: Eukaryota; Metazoa; Mollusca; Bivalvia; Venerida; Veneridae. The transcript has 5 exons.